UGGGGCGUGGCCAAGCGGUAAGGCACCGGUUUUUGGAGCCGGUAUUCGGAGGUUCGAAUCCUCCCGCCCCAG
This 72-nucleotide transfer RNA is filed under the name Acidobacteriota bacterium. RNAcentral describes it as "tRNA-Gln". It matches the Rfam family "tRNA". From Rfam's summary of the family: Transfer RNA (tRNA) molecules are approximately 80 nucleotides in length. Lineage: Bacteria; Pseudomonadati; Acidobacteriota. RNAcentral also lists the same sequence under 2 other names. The record is from RNAcentral.